Molecule: long non-coding RNA, 201 nt
Filed under: Callithrix jacchus (white-tufted-ear marmoset)
Lineage: Eukaryota; Metazoa; Chordata; Mammalia; Primates; Cebidae
Description: lncRNA (ENSCJAG00000072797.1)
Source: RNAcentral
AGCUGAGAGCACUCAGCUCAUAGAUUCUCUGUGGGGAGAGUGAAUAAAGCAAUAUCCAGACUGGUGUUUGAUCAAACAACUGGGUAUCAGAGCCUAGCCAAGUUGACAUAUAAAAGGAAACAUCACGGUUUUCACUGAAAACCCAAACCAAGAAAUAGCAACACAUCUAGAAUACUUACUACUAUAAAGCUCACCUGGAUA